Molecule: ribosomal RNA, 208 nt
Filed under: Facklamia sp. enrichment culture
Lineage: Bacteria; Bacillati; Bacillota; Bacilli; Lactobacillales; Aerococcaceae
Description: partial 16S ribosomal RNA
Rfam family: Bacterial small subunit ribosomal RNA
Source: RNAcentral
CGUAGGUGGCAAGCGUUGUCCGGAAUAACUGGGCGUAAAGCGCAUGUAGACGGCAUGAUAAGCCAAAUGUGAAAUGUAGGGGCUCAACCCCUGCACUGCGAUUGGAACUGUCAAGCUUGAGUGCAGGAGAGGCAAAUGGAAUUCCCAGUGUAGCAGUGAAAUGCGUAGAGAUUGGGAGGAACACCAGUGGCGAAGGCGAUUUGCUGGA